Cinara cedri is the source of this 538-nucleotide non-coding RNA. The record is from the annotation of a GenBank genome assembly. Lineage: Eukaryota; Metazoa; Arthropoda; Insecta; Hemiptera; Aphididae.
UUUAAUAUAUAUUUUUUGGCAUGAUGAUGUUUAUAAAUAAAUACUACCAAGAUCUUUGAAUCCACAUGAUAAGACUUUUUAAUCUGAGAAUACAAAUUAUUAAUAUUAUUUCGGUAAAAUGUUCAGUUUGAAUAAAGUUUCUCAUUUUAAGUUUUACAAUCCCUUACGCCACGCUAUAGUACUCUAUUUGGAUACUAUUGUGCCAAUUUUAUUAUUGAAUUAUAAAGGGCAAAGAAAAUGAGUCCUAUUAGGAAACACAAUGAAAAGUUUCAUAUGUGUGUCGACAUUAUGGACACAGUAUUAUGUUUUAUGCCUAUUUAAUAAUAAUUUAUAUUAUCCUCUAAGAAAUAUUGUUUUUGUGUUAUUAUGUUGUAUGAUGAAUUUAUCGCUCAUAUGAAAGAGUAUGAAAUAAGCAUUAAUGGAAUAUUUUUCCUCUCAUAUCUGAAACACCGACUUACAGUUAUUUAAGUUUUUAAAUUUCAUGGGUUCUGUUAUAAUAAUACAUGAAUGUUGUAUAUUUACUAUUCAUUUUUUUUUU